UGUAUGUAUAUGCCAGAGUCGGAUUUCAACCUCUGGUUAAAUUCUUCGACCCGCGACAGCCACGAUUGCAACCCAACCGAUUCCGGCCACCCCUGGUUGGCGUACAGGAGGUGCUUGAAUCCUUUAGGCGGCAUGAACCACUCUCAGGUUAUUGAUUGCUAAACCGACGACAUAUGAAAGAGAAUCGAGGCUCGAAAACAUUGUGCUUACCGGCGACUUUUCGGCAUUUUCCGGCGACUCCGGUUGUCUUUGACUGCAAGUAAGGUUCUCUAAAGGCAGAGGUUGUCGACGUGAUGACAUUCAAAGUAUGCAGAGAAGAUAGUUGGUAUAUGUGUGCACCCUGCGAUUAGUUCAAAGUGAAUGGCACAAAGAUGAUCGAGGCCUCGAGUUUUGAAAUAUGAGGUUGAACAAUAUGACCAAGAACCUGGGAACGAAGAUAGGAAAUCUGGGAAUUUGGCCAUCUUGGUUAAGGUUGUCAACGAGUAGUUCGUGCUGCGCUGUUGAUACGAAUUCCGUAGUGUAAACAUGAAUGUUCAAUUCUACUUGUUGUGAAGGCCAGGAAAACUGAAGGUUGAUGCUUGAGGAGUUGAGAUCGAGUUUCAAUUCAAGGACAAAAUGGAAUGUGUAUAAAAAAAGUAAACAAUGUCCUGUAAGAAAUAAUUAUGAACUCAUCACUAUCAUGAAGGAAAUCUGCAUUGAUUGUUUGCUUUACUUGAAGGUUAAGUAAUGACAUUGUGAUAUGAGUUGAAUCUUGUAAUCUAUUGUG
This is a long non-coding RNA of Rosa rugosa (rugosa rose), 766 nucleotides long. RefSeq lists it as uncharacterized. The transcript is spliced from 3 exons. The record is from RefSeq and is a predicted model, not a curated record. Lineage: Eukaryota; Viridiplantae; Streptophyta; Magnoliopsida; Rosales; Rosaceae.